Molecule: transfer RNA, 83 nt
Filed under: Spirochaetes bacterium GWB1_36_13
Lineage: Bacteria; Pseudomonadati; Spirochaetota
Also listed under: 1 other name
Description: tRNA-Tyr
Rfam family: tRNA
About the family: Transfer RNA (tRNA) molecules are approximately 80 nucleotides in length.
Source: RNAcentral
GGACAGAUGCCCGAGCGGCCAAAGGGAGCAGACUGUAAAUCUGCCGGCGUAAGCCUUCGGUGGUUCAAAUCCACCUCUGUCCA